RNAcentral lists this ribosomal RNA (485 nucleotides) under uncultured bacterium. Its description in RNAcentral is "partial 16S ribosomal RNA". It matches the Rfam family "Bacterial small subunit ribosomal RNA", at positions 30 to 507 of the family's 1533-position model. The record is from RNAcentral.
AUUGAACGCUGGCGGCAGGCUUAACACAUGCAAGUCGAGCGGGGGAAGGUAGCUUGCUACCGGACCUAGCGGCGGACGGGUGAGUAAUGCUUAGGAAUCUGCCUAUUAGUGGGGGACAACAUCUCGAAAGGGAUGCUAAUACCGCAUACGUCCUACGGGAGAAAGCAGGGGAUCUUCGGACCUUGCGCUAAUAGAUGAGCCUAAGUCGGAUUAGCUAGUUGGUGGGGUAAAGGCCUACCAAGGCGACGAUCUGCAGCGGGUCUGAGAGGAUGAUCCGCCACACUGGGACUGAGACACGGCCCAGACUCCUACGGGAGGCAGCAGUGGGGAAUAUUGGACAAUAGGGGGAACCCUGAUCCAGCCAUGCCGCGUGUGUGAAGAAGGCCUUAUGGUUGUAAAGCACUUUAAGCGAGGAGGAGGCUACUUUAGUUAAUACCUAGAGAUAGUGGACGUUACUCGCAGAAUAAGCACCGGCUAACUCUGUG